AUGAGGGGCAAUACAGCGAUCGAUGCAACAUUGGGGGAGAGGAAAAUUUGGGACAUCAUCUGGAAGGCCAAUGUUCCUCAGAAGAUCCAUAUUUUUGCGUGGUGGGUUGCUACCAAUAGUUUGGCUGUCCAAGUAAACAGAGUGGCGCACUACCAAGCGAUUCUCAGUACAUACUCGAUAUGUGGAGUGGACGACGAGAAUACGUUUCAUGCGCUUGUUACGUGCCCCAAGGCUCGUGCGUUGCGUAUGGCCAUGAGAGGUAUUUGGGAGUUACCGAUGGAGGAUGCAUUUAGGUAUACUGGGUUGGAAUGGUUUCUUGUUCUUGUAAGUCAAGUGGGAUAG
Molecule: ribosomal RNA, 342 nt
Filed under: Triticum aestivum (bread wheat)
Lineage: Eukaryota; Viridiplantae; Streptophyta; Magnoliopsida; Poales; Poaceae
Description: partial small subunit ribosomal RNA
Source: RNAcentral